RNAcentral lists this small nuclear RNA (20 nucleotides) under Arabidopsis thaliana (thale cress). RNAcentral describes it as "snRNA_05722". The record is from RNAcentral. Lineage: Eukaryota; Viridiplantae; Streptophyta; Magnoliopsida; Brassicales; Brassicaceae.
ACGCGGUUGAUGCCAUUGGC